GACGAACGCUGGCGGCGUGCUUAACACAUGCAAGCCGAGCGGUAAGGCCCUUUCGGGGGUACACGAGCGGCGAACGGGUGAGUAACACGUGGGUGACCUGCCCUCAGCUCUGGGAUAAGCCUGGGAAACCGGGUCUAAUACCGGAUAUGACUCCAUGACGCAUGUUGUGGGGUGGAAAGCCUUGUGCGGCUGAGGAUGGGCCCGCGGCCUAUCAGCUUGUUGGUGGGGUGAUGGCCUACCAAGGCGACGACGGGUAGCCGGCCUGAGAGGGCGACCGGCCACACUGGGACUGAGACACGGCCCAGACUCCUACGGGAGGCAGCAGUGGGGAAUCUUGCGCAAUGGGCGAAAGCCUGACGCAGCGACGCCGCGUGAGGGAUGACGGCCUGU
RNAcentral lists this ribosomal RNA (390 nucleotides) under uncultured bacterium. RNAcentral's name for it is "bacterial SSU rRNA". It matches the Rfam family "Bacterial small subunit ribosomal RNA", at positions 28 to 419 of the family's 1533-position model. The record is from RNAcentral.